Ailuropoda melanoleuca (giant panda) is the source of this 292-nucleotide long non-coding RNA. RefSeq lists it as uncharacterized. The record is from RefSeq and is a predicted model, not a curated record. NCBI's taxonomy places the organism in Eukaryota, Metazoa, Chordata, Mammalia, Carnivora, Ursidae. The transcript has 2 exons.
ACCUCCCCUUUUACGGUUUGUUAACGGAAGUUUCAAAGACUCAUUGGUUGUGACGAAGGCUUGCGUCUCCUGGCUGCGUGGCCAAUAAAGGGCAAGAAUAAGGCGGGUUCGGCCUCUUCCUCGGGUGACGGAGUCCUUCCGUUGACGUCGGGCAACAUGCAACCCUGGAAGCCACAUGCUGAGAUGUAUCACAAGAUAAACAAACUUCCAUCAGCCUGGGUCCCUGAAGACCAGACCUUUCUCAAGCUCUUACAAAAAAAAAAAAAAAAAGAAAAAAAAACAAAACCCAGAA